This 35-nucleotide ribosomal RNA is filed under the name Robbauera albescens. Its description in RNAcentral is "partial 18S ribosomal RNA". Lineage: Eukaryota; Fungi; Basidiomycota; Exobasidiomycetes; Robbauerales; Robbaueraceae. The record is from RNAcentral.
UCUGAGGGGAACACAAUACCGGGGUAGCCCUCUGU